CGGCGCUGCCCGCCCCCGGCAGCCCCCCGCGGGAGGCUGUGUUACCUGGAAGCCCGCCUGACCCAGAGAACAACAACAUCAGCAAUGACAGGUGCCCGGGAAGCAGCAGCAAGCAGCCGGCGGGGCGGCCAGCCGUGUCGUACGACUGCGCGGAGGAGGAGCUGAUGGCCAGCAUCGAGCGGGAGUACGGCCGCUGAGCCCCCAGCGGGAAGCAGAAAGCUGCUGCCAACAGGCCACGGCCACCCCUCGCAUGGGCAGGAGGAGGAGGAGGAGGAGGAGGGAGAGGAUGGGCGAGAGGCAGCACGACUGGAGGAUGACCUGAAGAAAGCCCACCUGGCAAAUCAACAUUUCAAAGCUCCUUUCUGAGCCAUAUUUCCAAAUGAAGGCAUAUUAGAGUUCUGCUGAGCGCUGAGACAUGGUGCUUGGAAGGAAGACCUUAUUUUUUGGGUGUCCUGGCAGUGCAGGUGCUGUACCCGCAGCACAAGGGCUUUUACCCCCAUUGAAAGCAGGAGGCACAUCCCCAGGGCCACCUCGCCGUGGCCACGGCCAUCUACUUAGAGAGGGGCUUGCACAGCAGCUCUUUGCCAUCCAUUCUCAGUCACCGCUCCUGGCCUUCCCGUGCAUUUCUUUCCUCCAUAGCUAGUCUAGAAGAAAAAUCACUACACUUUAUCAUUAGCUGAAUAAGAAAGCCUGGAUCGCCACAGAAAAUCAUGUUUUCAGCGCUCCCUGACAGGGAAGCCUGAUAUUUUAGGGUUUCUGCCUGUGUUUUACCUGCAUCUUAGUAUGUUAUGAGUAGCUGCUUAUUUUCGGAAGUAGAAAAAUACCUUAUUUCUGUCUUCAGCUGAAUUGUAAAAGAUGCCAGAUGAAAUCUUCACAAAGAAUGUGCAAGGGGAAACAGCAGGAUGCAGCUGUAUUUUGACUUCUUUGUCCUUCCUGAAAUCUGUGUAAGAGAAAGAAAGGGCUCUGUAUUCUACAUAACUCUCAAUAAAGGCAAAUAAGCUGUUUAGAAAA
Molecule: long non-coding RNA, 1011 nt
Organism: Oxyura jamaicensis (ruddy duck)
Lineage: Eukaryota; Metazoa; Chordata; Aves; Anseriformes; Anatidae
Exons: 3
Source: RefSeq, a predicted model, not a curated record